RNAcentral lists this small RNA (122 nucleotides) under Marmota monax (woodchuck). Lineage: Eukaryota; Metazoa; Chordata; Mammalia; Rodentia; Sciuridae. The record is from RNAcentral.
AGGCAUGGUGGUGCAUGCCUGUAACCCCAGCAGCUCGGGAGGCUGAGUCAGGAGGAUCUCAAGUUCAAAGACAGCCUCUGCAACAGUGAGGCACUUAGCAAUUCAGUGAGACCCUGUCUCUA